This is a microRNA precursor of Danio rerio (zebrafish), 100 nucleotides long. Ensembl annotates it as microRNA let7e. Its record names the gene dre-let-7e. NCBI's taxonomy places the organism in Eukaryota, Metazoa, Chordata, Actinopteri, Cypriniformes, Danionidae. The record is from Ensembl.
GCUGUUCUUGGGGCUGAGGUAGUAGAUUGAAUAGUUGUGGAGCCCUGCGCUCUCUCUCUGAGAUAACUAUACAAUCUACUGUCUUUCCUAAGGCGACAGC